UUGCUUUGGCAGCACACAGACUAAAAUUGGAACAAGACAAAGAUGAGCAUGGCCCCUGCACAAGGAUGACACCCAAAUUCAUGAAGCAGUCCAUAUUUAA
RNAcentral lists this small nuclear RNA (100 nucleotides) under Neogale vison (American mink). Lineage: Eukaryota; Metazoa; Chordata; Mammalia; Carnivora; Mustelidae. The record is from RNAcentral.